This 641-nucleotide ribosomal RNA is filed under the name uncultured marine eukaryote. RNAcentral's name for it is "SSU rRNA". It matches the Rfam family "Eukaryotic small subunit ribosomal RNA", at positions 616 to 1259 of the family's 1831-position model. The record is from RNAcentral.
UGGUUAAAAAGCUCGUAGUUGGAUCUCGGCGGACUGAGGGCGGUUUGCUUGCUAGUACUACUGCCCUAUAGUCCGUAGUUUUGCCAGAGGUUUCGGGGUGCUCUUAAUCGAGUGUCCCGGGAUGCUGGCAGGUUUACUUUGAAAAAAUUAGAGUGCUCAAAGCAGGCUAUUACGCCCGAAUAUUCGUGCAUGGAAUAAUAGAAUAGGAAGUCGUUUCUAUUUUGUUGGUUUUCGGAAAUCGACUUAAUGAUUAAUAGGGACAGUCGGGGGCAUUUGUAUUCAAACGACAGAGGUGAAAUUCUCGGACCGUUUGAAGACAAACUACUGCGAAAGCAUUUGCCAAGAAUGUUUUCAUUAAUCAAGAACGAAAGUUAAAGGUUCGAAGGCGAUUAGAUACCGCCCUAGUUUUAACCAUAAACGAUGCCAGCUAGCGAUCUGCGGACGUUUUUUUUGUAGACUCCGCAGGAAGCUUCCGGGAAACCAAGCAUUUGGGUUCCAGGGGAAGUAUGGUUGCAAAGCUGAAACUUAAAGGAAUUGACGGAAGGGCACCACCAGGAGUGGAGCCUGUGGCUUAAUUUGACUCAACACGGGAAAUCUCACCAGGCCCGGACACUGGAAGGAUUGACAGAUUGAUAGCUCUU